Molecule: long non-coding RNA, 1502 nt
Filed under: Homo sapiens (human)
Lineage: Eukaryota; Metazoa; Chordata; Mammalia; Primates; Hominidae
Description: HSALNT0063363
Source: RNAcentral
UUCCAAUAGGCAAACAACAAAGCUGCACACUGAGAGAAUUUACUAUAUAUGACACAAGAAAGGAAACUUGUAUUUCAUCGUAAUCUAUUUUCUUUCUUAAUAACAACAACUUAUUUAAGAAUUUAAGCAAAUUUUGAAAUUUUUAAUGUCUGGUCAUUCCACGUAUCUCUGGAGCUUAGCAUUAUGCCUAGCACACGGGACAUAAAGAACAAAUAUCCAUGGAAGGACUACAUUUCAAAUGCAUUUUAUCAAAAAAGUCAGAAAGUUAAAGUCCCAAUGCCUCUUGAAAAUUACUUUUGGAGCCAAGACAAGCCGUGCCAUCAGAUGCCGUUCUCAGGAUCAAUGCCAUCAAGCUACAGAUGGAACCCCAAAUGACCUCAACUAACAACUUCUACCGAGGACCCCUGGACUGACCCGCUGACCCUUUGACUGGCCUAAAGAGUUCUCCUCUGGAGGACACUACAACUGCAGGGCCCCUUCUUCACCCCUAUCCAGCAGGAAGUAGCUAGCGCAGACAUCGCCCAAUUCCCAACAGCAGUUGGGGUGUCCUGUUUAGAGUGGGGCUUCUGGGUCAGGUGGGGACUUGGAUAACUUUUGUGUCUAGCUAAAGGAUAAUAAAUGCACCAAUCAGCACUCUGUAAAAUGGACCAAUCAGCACUCUGCAAAAUAGACCCAUCAGCAGGAUGUGGGCAGGGCCAAAUAAGGGAAUACAAGCUGGCCACCCGAGCCAGCAGCGACAACCCGCUCGGGUCCCCUUCCACACUGUGGAAGCUUUGUUCUUUUACUUUUCACAAUAAAUCUUGCUGCUGCUCACUCUUUGGGUCCACACACCUUUAAGAGCUGUAACACUCACUGCAAAGGUCUGCGGCUUCACUCCUGAAGUCAGCAAGACCAGGAAGGAAGAAACUCCGGACACAUUUGAACAUCUGAAGGAGCAAACUCCUGACACACCAUCUUUAAGAACUAUAACACUCCCCGCGAGGGUCCACAGCUUCAUUCUUGAAGUCAGCGAGACCAAGAACCCACCAGAAGAAACCAAUUCUGGACACAACAUGAUAUUAUUUAAGUGUCCCAAAUGCGUAACCUAAAUACAGCCAUGAGGAAACGUCAAAAGCACACAAAUUAAAGAACAGUCUUCUAAAUAACUACCUCAUAUUUUUUCAAAAAUAUCAAAAGUAGAAUAGCAAAAGACUUACAAACAGAUCUAAACUAAAGGAAACUGAAGAGACAAUGCAACCAAAUGCAAUGUUUGGUCCCAAAUUAGAUCUUGGCAAGAUAAAUAUAUCUAUAAAGUACAUUAUUAGGAAACUGUAUGAUCUUAGACAGUAGUAUUGUAUCUUUGAAUUUUAUAAUUUUCAUAAUUGUAAUCUGGCUGAGAUUCUUUUUUUAGGAAAUACUGAAUAAUUUGGAGUAUAGAAAUGAUAUUUGUGUUUUAUUUUCAAAAUGUUUAUAAUAUAUUGUAGAGAGUGAAAAAUCAAAUAUUACAAAUUAUUAAAAAUUGG